CUUCUGUGCUGUGAGAAGCUUCCAGAAGAACAAGGCCAAGCUGUCUCAGCAUCAGAGAGCAUUUCAUGAGUGGUCUCUGGAGCUGCACUGCCUGCCCUCUUGGCUCUGACUGCACUUACCAAACACAGCACCCUUGGGAACAGUGCUGAGUGUGACCCCAGUCCUACUGAGAAAGCUUUUUCAUCCAUUUCUUUUACAAGCUGCUGUUGCCACAGUUCUCCUUGAGGAGUCUUGACAAUUGAUCCAAGCUGAUGGCCACACUUCCACAAAGUGCUGUACAGGAACUGCCAAACCUGUUUCCUACUUAAAAUAUUACCCUAUCUUGAACCACCAAAGUGAUGAGCUGUUUUUCACUGACUUGUACAUGGCCUUUUAAAACACUGAUUCUGGGGACUGGCAGACCUGGUCUGUGAGAAUCACAACAAAUGAAACUUGACUCUUGCAUACAAACUGAUGGAAGCCACAUUUGUAGCAUUUCUCAGACCUCUCCUGGAGAGAGCAAGGAUCUCUUCAUUUUAAGUCUCAUCCUGGGUAUCUUCUUUAACAAAAAUUUGAAGUUCUUAAUAACUUUAAAGGAGUAUCUACUACUUUAUCAAAUUUGUCUCAAAUCAGCCUAUGUGCUCAAAACCUAUUAACAGGACAUGUGUGCUAUGGUUGCACAAAUCUCCUUUCCUUACUAAACUAGGCCAAAUACCUCUAAGAAGCCAAAUGAAAGUUCAAUCUUUUAGAAAUUACAUGAAAAAAAAAAUUUCUUUUUGACAAUCCUACCAAAUUUAGUAUCAUGUUAAUCCUACUAUUCAAAUAUGCAGGAAUAAAUAAGAAAUUAUAUUCUUUACAUGCAUUUUUGACUCUUCCUCUAUGCUUCUACAUGAGAAGUAAUUUUCAAUCAAGCUGUUUAGAACACCUGAGAUAUUCCUCAGCAAAUGAUUGCCUUGUCUGAGCCCAGUCAAUAUUGACACCAACGAGGCAUGCAUCACCAUGCAUUCAGAUGCAUUUUGCAUUUGGAUUGAAGAACAAACCACUCCAGGCUGUCAGACACACAUAACCCAGGUAGGAUGCAUGCAUUCUGCCUUGUACUUUGCCAAGGGAACUCUAAACUGGCAAAAUUUUAGUUGAGGACCAAAUAUUCAAGAAUCUGGAGAUGAUGGAGAGC
This is a non-coding RNA of Agelaius phoeniceus (red-winged blackbird), 1153 nucleotides long. Lineage: Eukaryota; Metazoa; Chordata; Aves; Passeriformes; Icteridae. The record is from RefSeq and is a predicted model, not a curated record.